CCUGGAGAUAUUUAAAAGACAUGUAGACAUGGUGCUUAGGGGCAUGAUUUAGUGGUGGAGUUGGUAGUGUUAGGUUAACAGCUGGACUUGAUGAUUUUAAGGGU
Tyto alba (common barn owl) is the source of this 104-nucleotide long non-coding RNA. RefSeq lists it as uncharacterized. The record is from RefSeq and is a predicted model, not a curated record. NCBI's taxonomy places the organism in Eukaryota, Metazoa, Chordata, Aves, Strigiformes, Tytonidae. The transcript is spliced from 3 exons.